GGCGCCAUAGCCAAGUGGUAACGCAGAGGUCUGCAAAACCUUUAUUCCCCAGUACGAAUCUGGGUGGCGCCUCCA
This 75-nucleotide transfer RNA is filed under the name Clostridiaceae bacterium. RNAcentral describes it as "tRNA-Cys". It matches the Rfam family "tRNA". Rfam says of the family: Transfer RNA (tRNA) molecules are approximately 80 nucleotides in length. Their secondary structure includes four short double-helical elements and three loops (D, anti-codon, and T loops). Lineage: Bacteria; Bacillati; Bacillota; Clostridia; Eubacteriales; Clostridiaceae. The record is from RNAcentral.